GGCGCCACCUGGCGGCCUACCUGGGCAAGUCUGACGAGGUGCGGGAGCCCAAUGGGCCGGCUGAGGCAUGGUGUGGGAGCCUGCCGAGCCAACCGAGGCUUGUGAGGCGGUUGAGGUGCGGGAGCCUGACAAGCCGGCCAUGGGAGGCCGACGUGCCCGGCCGAGGCGCGGGAACUCGACGGGCCAGCUGAGACAUGGCGUGGGAGCCAACCGAGGCUUGUGAGCCAGCUGAGGCAUGGGAGACUGACGAGCUAGCUGAGGCAUCCCCGGUUGCGUCGGCAGCGGCCGACGUCACCAACAAGAACAAAAAAAACACUCCCUGAUGCUUUCAAUUGUGGUGUCUGCAUUCUGUAACGGUUCCAUAAUCACAGACGCUGGGAGACAGGAAGCAAGUACUGGUGGCAGAAAAUGGCGGAGCACCAACCCACCAUCACUUAAAACCCACUGCUCUCCCUACACCUGUGAAGGAGCUCUCUCAUUCUCUCUCUCUCCCUUUACCCCCCCCACACUUAUCUCCAUAUAAUAAAUCCUCAUAAUUUUCAAAUGUAUGGUUUGCGCUUUAUGAAGACAUUGUGAAGAAUUAUUAGGAUCUAAUAUAAUCGUAUAUUAUUGUUUAAUGACAUUAACAUAAACAUCUACAUGCAGUAGGACAGAUCUACAAUUUGUACAAUGAAUCAGGGAAGCAGCAGAUACGGCAGUCAGUCGGCAGUGCCAGGAGGACACAAUGGUAUAUUAUAUUUUGUAGUUAAUUUUUCUAACCCUAAUCAGAUUCUUAUCACCAAUAUCAUUCUAAUAUGCAUGUAAAUUCAAAUGUACCUCCUGUGGUAUCCCAGGAGGUCUACCCCGGGUGAUGGUAAUAGAGGGUAUGUACGUGAGGCGACGUUGGCUCCCUCUUCUGGGAAUACGGGAGCUGGGCACCCCGACACGGACAGCUCUAAGUGGAGGUAAUUAGAGGAAAGUGCCAAACAGCCGUGGAGGCCAAAUAAAAGGAGCACGGUGGCACACCGCGAGAGAGAACGGGGAGAGACAGACACCAAGCAAAAGUAGAGAAGGACUGAGCCAAACCUAAGUGAUUUUCUUUGUUAUAUUUAUUUUCUGUCUUAGUAAAGUUGUUUUUUCCGACUAAA
Molecule: long non-coding RNA, 1127 nt
Organism: Oncorhynchus tshawytscha (Chinook salmon)
Lineage: Eukaryota; Metazoa; Chordata; Actinopteri; Salmoniformes; Salmonidae
Source: Ensembl